Molecule: ribosomal RNA, 431 nt
Filed under: Malayfilaria sofiani
Lineage: Eukaryota; Metazoa; Nematoda; Chromadorea; Rhabditida; Onchocercidae
Description: partial 12S ribosomal RNA
Source: RNAcentral
UUUUGUUUUUAUAUUAUUUUUUGUAAAAUGUUUUAAUUUUUUUAUUUUUUUAAAUAGACAUUGAAAAUUUGGUUUUUGAACUGGAUUAGUACCCAGGUAAUCAAAAUUAAUUAAUUCGGGAGUAAAGUUUUAUUUAAACCGAAAAAAUAUUGACUGACUUUGGAUUUUUCUUUGGAACAUGCGUAUGGAGAGCCCUCUUUUUUGGUAAAUUUUGUUGGCACAUGUAUGAUUGUUUAGUUUUUAUUUUAUUUGUAAUGCUUUUUUUGUUUUGACAUUAAAAACAGAUAUAUAUUUGGCUUAUAAAUUUAUUAUCGUGUGUUACUAUUUUUAAUUUUUUUUGGAUUAUUUUUUAAUUUUUUUUUGAAAUUGGAAAAGAAAGUAAUUAUUUUUUUAUAUAUAAAUGAAUUUAAUAAACAAGGUGGUACAAACCA